CCUACGGGAGGCAGCAGUGGGGGAUAUUGCACAAUGGGGGAAACCCUGAUGCAGCGACGCCGCGUGAGUGAAGAAGUAUUUCGGUAUGUAAAGCUCUAUCAGCAGGGAAGAAAAUGACAGUACCUGACCAAGAAGCCACGGCUAACUACGUGCCAGCAGCCGCGGGAAUACGUAGGGGGCAAGCGUUAUCCGGAUUUACUGGGUGUAAAGGGAGCGUAGACGGUUAGGUAAGUCUGGAGUGAAAGCCCGGGGCCCACCCCCGGGACUGCUCUUGGAACUGCAUGGCUGGAGUACAGGAGGGGCAGGCCGAAUUCCUAGUGUAGCGGUGAAAUGCGUAGAUAUUAGGAGGAACACCGGUGGCGAAGGCGGCCUGCUGGACUGUGACUGACGUUGAGGCCCGAAUGCGUGGGGAGCAAACAGGAUUAGAUACCCUAGUAGUC
RNAcentral lists this ribosomal RNA (440 nucleotides) under uncultured bacterium. Its description in RNAcentral is "partial 16S ribosomal RNA". It matches the Rfam family "Bacterial small subunit ribosomal RNA", at positions 338 to 795 of the family's 1533-position model. The record is from RNAcentral.